Molecule: ribosomal RNA, 274 nt
Filed under: uncultured bacterium
Lineage: Bacteria
Description: partial 16S ribosomal RNA
Rfam family: Bacterial small subunit ribosomal RNA
Source: RNAcentral
AUACGGAGGGGGCUAGCGUUGUUCGGAUUUACUGGGCGUAAAGCGCGCGUAGGCGGUAUAUCAAGUUAGGCGUGAAAGCCCCGGGCUCAACCCGGGAACUGCGCUUAUUACUGAUAAACUAGAGUUCGGGAGAGGGUGGCGGAAUUCCCAGUGUAGAGGUGAAAUUCGUAGAUAUUGGGAAGAACACCAGUUGCGAAGGCGGCCACCUGGACCGGUACUGACGCUGAGGUGCGAAAGCGUGGGGAGCAAACAGGAUUAGAAACCCCGGUAGUCC